This 170-nucleotide unclassified non-coding RNA is filed under the name uncultured Ceramothyrium. RNAcentral's name for it is "sequence contains ITS2". Lineage: Eukaryota; Fungi; Ascomycota; Eurotiomycetes; Chaetothyriales; Chaetothyriaceae. The record is from RNAcentral.
UCCUCCCUCAAACCUCGCGUUUGGUGUUGGACCGCGGUGGGGGGUCCGUCCCCCACCGGGUCUCAAAGACAAUGACGGCGUCCGUGGGACCCUCUUCGCACUGAGCUUUCCGGAGCACGCGUCGAGUCGCAAGGUCCCGGGGACCCGGUCACCUAUCCUUUUUACUUCUA